CCUACGGGCGGCUGCAGUGGGGAAUAUUGGACAAUGGGGGCAACCCUGAUCCAGCCAUGCCGCGUGUGUGAAGAAGGCCCUCGGGUUGUAAAGCACUUUCAGUGAGGAAGAACGCCUGGUGGUUAAUACCCAUCAGGAAAGACAUCACUCACAGAAGAAGCACCGGCUAACUCCGUGCCAGCAGCCGCGGUAAUACGGAGGGUGCGAGCGUUAAUCGGAAUUACUGGGCGUAAAGCGCGCGUAGGUGGCUUGAUAAGCCGGUUGUGAAAGCCCCGGGCUCAACCUGGGAACGGCAUCCGGAACUGUCAAGCUAGAGUGCAGGAGAGGAAGGUAGAAUUCCCGGUGUAGCGGUGAAAUGCGUAGAGAUCGGGAGGAAUACCAGUGGCGAAGGCGGCCUUCUGGACUGACACUGACACUGAGGUGCGAAAGCGUGGGUAGCAAACAGGAUUAGCUACCCUAGUAGUC
This 465-nucleotide ribosomal RNA is filed under the name Vreelandella stevensii. RNAcentral describes it as "partial 16S ribosomal RNA". It matches the Rfam family "Bacterial small subunit ribosomal RNA", at positions 338 to 795 of the family's 1533-position model. Lineage: Bacteria; Pseudomonadati; Pseudomonadota; Gammaproteobacteria; Oceanospirillales; Halomonadaceae. The record is from RNAcentral.